CGCCGCUCCGCCCGCACCGGCGGCGCCGCCGGCAGCGCCUCGCUUAUGCCGAGUGUGCUCCGCUCGGUGCUUCACCCGCACCGGGCACCGCGUGUGCUCCGCUCGGUGCUUCACCCGCACCGGGCACCGCGCCUCGCCCGCACCGCGGGGAGUGUAGCAACCGCACCGGGAAGAGCGGGACACCUGCACUGGGCGCAGCGCAGCACCCGCACCGGGAGCCCUCCCCUCAGGGCUUCACCCCGCUCAUAUCGCACCUCAGCACCUCACCCGGUCCAGGGAGAGCGGAUCGCCCGCACCGUGGGGAGAGGAUCGCCCGCACCGGGUGUUCUCCCCUCAGCGCCUCGCCUCAUCCCUCAGGGAUUGCUCCCCUCAGCCCCUCGCUGCGGGACGCUCCCCUCAGGGCCUCACCUCACUCCCCUGGCACCGCCCCAGGGUCUCACCCUCAUGCAAUGGCUGCUCCCUCAGCCCCUUCACCUCCUGCCACCCUUAGCCUGGACCGAGAGCUGCCCCCUCAGUGCUGUUCUCCUGAGUUUCCCUCUCAACUCUCUUGCCUUGGUUUACUGGGCCACUCUGAAACUCCCCAUUUCCCUCCAGGAAAAUUUCCCUCUUGGUGCCUCACGUCCCCCUCAUGGUUGUUUCUCCUCUCCCUCACCUCUGCUCACCCCUAUUUUGUCUGUCCCCUCACAGAAUGAUUUCCCUUUCUCCCUUCCCCUUGUCCCACUCCAUCACAGGAAUCCUGUCACCUCUCCAGGAGCUUUCCCCAGAGGACUCGUGAGCAGGCAGACAUUACAGAGAGAAGAAUGGCUGCAGAUGGACCCUGAUCCUCCUGUGGGAGCCCUGGGAGGACUCAGAAGAGAGGGAAUGCUGAGAUUGGAAGAUUUUAUGGCAGUUCUCCUGUCCUGUUUCCAAGGCCUCCUGGACUGCUUUAUCCCAGAGGAAUGUGGCUGCCACAGCAGCUCCCAGAUGAAGAAUCCGUGUUUGAGAUGGCUGUGGAUUCAAUCCACUGCCUUGGGAUGCAAGCCAAGGCCUUUUAUUGGAAUGAGGAGCUGACUCAGAGCCAGGAGAGGCCAGUGAAGCUCUGGAAGCUUCCACAGCAGUAGCCUUUUCUGGAAGUACCUAAAUGCUGCCCAUCAGUGAGGAAGAGUGGUUGGGAACUGAGCAGAUCCCUGAGUGCUUGGCCUGAAUUUCUGAAUCUUCAAUGUCUCAGAAGACUCAUUAUUACUAUCCAAAAAUAG
Molecule: long non-coding RNA, 1235 nt
Filed under: Parus major (Great Tit)
Lineage: Eukaryota; Metazoa; Chordata; Aves; Passeriformes; Paridae
Description: lncRNA (ENSPMJG00000007619.1)
Source: RNAcentral